CCUACGGGUGGCAGCAGUGAGGAAUAUUGGUCAAUGGCCGGAAGGCUGACCCAGCCAUGCCGCGUGAAGGUCAGUGCCCUUUGGGCGUUAAACUUCUUUUGUGCGGGAGCAAUAAUGGUCACGUGUGGCCAGACGAGAGUACCGUGCGACUAAGCAUCGGCUAACUCCGUGCCAGCAGCCGCGGUCAUACGGGGGAUGAAAGCGUUAUCCGGAUUUAUUGGGGUGUAAGGGUGCGGUGGGUGUGAGGUAGAUCAGCGGUGAAAUGCCCCCGCGCAACGGGGUGAAGUGCUAUUGAUACUGCCUUGCUGGAAUGCGGAUGCGGUGGGAGGAAUGUGUGGUGUAGCGGUGAAAUGCAUAGAUA
This 361-nucleotide ribosomal RNA is filed under the name uncultured bacterium. Its description in RNAcentral is "partial 16S ribosomal RNA". It matches the Rfam family "Bacterial small subunit ribosomal RNA", at positions 338 to 696 of the family's 1533-position model. The record is from RNAcentral.